CAGCAGCCACGGGAAUACGGAGGGAGCUAGCGUUGUUCGGAAUUACUGGGCGUAAAGCGCACGUAGGCGGCUUGGUAAGUUAGAGGUGAAAGCCCGGAGCUCAACUCCGGAAUUGCCUUUAAGACUGCCGAGCUAGCAGGUGAGAGAGGUAAGUGGAAUUCCGAGUGUAGAGGUGAAAUUCGUAGAUAUUCGGAAGAACACCAGUGGCGAAGGCGGCUUACUGGCUCAUACUGGACGCUGAGGUGCGAAAGCGUGGGGAGCAAACAGGAUUAGAUACCCGCGUAGUCCCUGUCUCUUAUAC
RNAcentral lists this ribosomal RNA (301 nucleotides) under uncultured bacterium. RNAcentral's name for it is "partial 16S ribosomal RNA". It matches the Rfam family "Bacterial small subunit ribosomal RNA", at positions 509 to 807 of the family's 1533-position model. The record is from RNAcentral.